AAAUACUGACUGGUCCACGUUGCAGGCAAAGAGGGACGUGGGGAGAUCAUUGAAGUCGGUGAUUUGUUGGAAACUGUCUCACAGUGAGGACUCUCCCAUGGUGGACUGCAGGACUACCAGCUCUUCCCCUCCUAAGAGCAGCAACACCUGUCAAAGCCCUGCUGUACAGACGUAGGAUGAUCUAACGGAAUAAGUCGACGGGGUUAUUCGGUACCUGUGCGGGAUGUGGCAGUCCGGUGUGCGUAUCUUCUGCGCGGUGGCUUUGUCUCCCUCUCUUGCCUUUGUGAAUCAAGCUCGCAUUCCAGCUGCGAUUCACUAAUCUCUUGACGUUACUGCAGACAGCUUGAUUCACCAAUGACCGCCUCCCGGCAUUCAAAUGAUGUUUGCUCAACCCACUAAUAAAAUGCAGCGCGCCGAGCGCAGGAGGGGUUCGUGGACCAAUAGCGCUCUCCUAAAAGCGAAUAUGCAAAUCGGUGAAGUUACGUCAGCGCUUUCGCCAGCAGUUGGAUGUUGCGGUGCUGCUGUGACACGUUCAGCAGGUUGUUUUUAGUAAAUGUGGUGCAGGGCAAAGCAGAGAUUUCUCGAAAUGAUGUCUGUCAGCAAGAGGGGUUGAAGAGUCCCGGGUCAUGCUCACUCAUAAGGUUUAUUUACUUGUUUGUUUGCUUAGGCUAUAUAUUUAUUUUUGUGAAAUGGUGUUUGUGCUACCAUCAAUGCAAAGUUGGUGCAAUAAAGUAACAUCAUAGUUAACAUUUACAAUUAUGUAUUUUAUAUUAUUUAGUCACUUAUAGGGUAUAGUUGGACAGAAUUGUUCUAAUUCAACAAUCUAACUUAACAUUUUCUUAUAUUGAUAUUGUUUAUUUCUUACUCCUUAACAGUUCAUCAGACUCUUAAUGAUUUAAUCUAUGCCAUCUUUUGGAAUAUAUGAAGGCCAUGUACCAUAUAGUUCUUAACUGAAGCAUUAUAAGACUAGCCUGUUAAUCAGUACCAGGUCAAUAAUGACUGUUUUAAAAAUUAAUCAAUAUAACAUUUGUCAUGAAGAAACAACCGCCUGCACAUUUAGAACCAAUAGCUACAACAUGCCUUAGUUUUAAUAUAAAUCUAUAGGGAAAAAUAUAUUCUGUUAACAGAUUAUCUAAUAUAAAUAUAACAAGUUCGACUAAAUUUUACACAGUAAAUAAGCCUACAAUUAAACGUGAUAAAUUCUAGUAAAGGUGGUCUUUAGUAUAUAGUUUAAAAAGAUUUUAAUAUAUGUUAGUGCUGGUUCAAGACUGUUUUCUCCUCUUUUUUUAUAACGGCUCCAUUCGGUUUGUACUUGAAGUUGACGCUGAUAAAAGCGACGAAGGCAUGAUUUCAAUAAUUAAUUAAUAGCCUGAUUAGGCCUCUCGUACCUUAUUGCUUACAAUAUUUGCUUAAAAAUUUAAAGGAUUCACAGGACAACAAUCAUUUCUGAGAUGCAAAAAUGUUUGUAUGUCUGUGUAUUAUUAUUUGUGUCAAUGAAUGUUAAAUUACAUAUUAUAUGAAGAAACAGGAAUGUCAAAUUAAAGGGCCUGGCACUAA
This is a long non-coding RNA of Cyprinus carpio (common carp), 1557 nucleotides long. RefSeq lists it as uncharacterized. Lineage: Eukaryota; Metazoa; Chordata; Actinopteri; Cypriniformes; Cyprinidae. The transcript is spliced from 2 exons. The record is from RefSeq and is a predicted model, not a curated record.